RNAcentral lists this ribosomal RNA (505 nucleotides) under uncultured bacterium. Its description in RNAcentral is "partial 16S ribosomal RNA". It matches the Rfam family "Bacterial small subunit ribosomal RNA", at positions 28 to 507 of the family's 1533-position model. The record is from RNAcentral.
GACGAACGCUGGCGGCGUGCCUAAUACAUGCAAGUAGAACGCACAGUUUAUACCGUAGCUUGCUACACCAUAAACUGUGAGUUGCGAACGGGUGAGUAACGCGUAGGUAACCUGCCUGGUAGCGCUGGAUGACUCUUGGACACGAUAGCUAAUACCGCAUAAUAUUAAUUAUUCCAUAAUAAUUGAUUGACUGAUGCAAUUGCAUAACUACAUGCUGGACCUGCGUUGUAUUAGCUAGUAGGUGAGGUAACGGCUCACCUAGGCGACGAUACAUAGCCGACCUGAGAGGGUGAUCGGCCACAAUGGGACUGAGACACGGCCCAGACUCCUAACGGGAGCAGCAGUAGGGAAUCUUCGGCAAUGGACGAAAGUCUGACCGAGCAAAGCCGCGUGAGUGAAGAAGGUUUUCGGAUCGGAAAGAUCUGUUGUAAGAGAAGGACGGGUGUGAGAGUUGAAAGUUCACACUGUGACGGUAUCUUACCAGAAAGGGACGGCUAACUACGUG